RNAcentral lists this microRNA precursor (76 nucleotides) under Dryobates pubescens (Downy woodpecker). RNAcentral's name for it is "Picoides pubescens (downy woodpecker) mir-202 microRNA precursor family". It matches the Rfam family "mir-202 microRNA precursor family". The record is from Rfam by way of RNAcentral. Lineage: Eukaryota; Metazoa; Chordata; Aves; Piciformes; Picidae.
UUGUUCCUUUUUCCUAUGCUUAUAUUUCUUUGGUAAUUAAAUCAAAAGAGAUAUAAAGCAUGGGAAAAUGGGGCAG